AAUAAAAAAAAACAAAAUAAAAAAUUGGACGAGAAUUUUUGGAGAGAAAUUUUGCAAUCGAUGCUCUGUUGGUUGCAACAUUAGUUUCUAAUAACAACCAAUUUCAUUUGGUUACAAAAAUCGGCUACUUUAGCAACUACUUGGCAAAUCGAUUGCAAAUUAAAAAAAAAAAAUUGGAUAGAAAUUUUUUAGCAGAAAAUUUAGCAAUCGAUUUGCAAUUGGUUACAAAAAUUAGUUGCUAUUAAUAAUCGAUUUAAGUUAGUUAUAAAAAUUAGUUACUAAAUAGCAUCUG
This 292-nucleotide unclassified non-coding RNA is filed under the name Hevea brasiliensis (rubber tree). The record is from RNAcentral. Lineage: Eukaryota; Viridiplantae; Streptophyta; Magnoliopsida; Malpighiales; Euphorbiaceae.